This 418-nucleotide long non-coding RNA is filed under the name Salmo salar (Atlantic salmon). Its description in RNAcentral is "lncRNA (ENSSSAG00000088640.1)". Lineage: Eukaryota; Metazoa; Chordata; Actinopteri; Salmoniformes; Salmonidae. The record is from RNAcentral.
CUUGGAAAAUCUCCUGGAGGAGGAAGUAAACAAUGUGGAUGUGACUGGGAGAAUCUACUGUGGAAGGAAGCAGACAAUGUGGAUGUGACUGUGAGAAUCUACUGGGGAAGGAAGUAGACAAUGUGGAUGUGACUGGAAGAAUCUACUGGGGAAGGAUGUAGACAAUGUGGAUGUGACUUGGAGAAUCUACUGGGGAAGAAUGUAGACAAUGUGGAUGUGACUGGGAGAAUCUACUGUGGAAGGAAGCAGACAAUGUGGAUGUGACUGGGAGAAUCUACUGGAGGAGGAAGUAGACUAUGUGGAUGUGACUGGGAUAAUCUACUGGAGGAGGAAGUAGACAAUGUGGAUGUGAGGGAAACAAUCUACUGGAGGAGGAAGUAGACUAUGUGGAUGUGACUGGGAGAAUCUACUGGAGGAG